Molecule: long non-coding RNA, 317 nt
Filed under: Solanum tuberosum (potato)
Lineage: Eukaryota; Viridiplantae; Streptophyta; Magnoliopsida; Solanales; Solanaceae
Description: long non-coding RNA (STUB_LNC002255)
Source: RNAcentral
ACUACCUCUAUCUCCGGCAUCUCCUGCUAGUUUCCUUUAAAAAGCAUGUUUUCCGCUGUACAUAGGAUGUAUCGCACAUAAAUAUGUACUCAUCCAUUUUCUACCUCAAUUUCUAUUUGCUCCUCUUUAUAUUCGGUUGCACACUUAAUUGUCAAUCUUAAAUGUAGGUGCUUUGUCCAGAUACAAGCAGAGAAUAUAUUCUCCCAAGAGGUGUUAUUGAAGUGUGCAUAAGAAGCUGGGUAAUGACUCUAAUCCUCCUAAACACGAAUCCUCGGAUUCUCAAAUCUGCUUGUCGAAUUCUCGGGUUCCCUCACUAG